This 253-nucleotide ribosomal RNA is filed under the name uncultured bacterium. RNAcentral's name for it is "partial 16S ribosomal RNA". It matches the Rfam family "Bacterial small subunit ribosomal RNA", at positions 524 to 776 of the family's 1533-position model. The record is from RNAcentral.
UACGUAGGGUGCAAGCGUUGUCCGGAAUUACUGGGCGUAAAGCGCACGCAGGCGGUUCGCCAAGUUUGGAGUGACAGUUGUCGGCUCAACCGACAAAGGACUUCAAAAACUGGUGAACUUGAGGACGAGAGAGGAACAUGGAACUCCAGGUGUAGUAGUGAAAUGCGUAGAUAUCUGGAAGAACACCAAUGGCGAAGGCAAUGUUCUGGCUCGUUUCUGACGCUCAGGUGCGAAAGCCAGGGGAGCGAACGGG